UGCCAGCCGCCGCGGUAAUACGGAGGGUGCAAGCGUUGUUCGGAAUCACUGGGCGUAAAGGGUGCGUAGGCGGUCUUAUAAGCUAAGGGUGAAAUCCCAGGGCUCAACCCUGGAACUGCUCUUAGAACUGCAAGUCUAGAGUCCGAGAGAGGUGAGUGGAAUUCCUAGUGUAGAGGUGAAAUUCGUAGAUAUUAGGAAGAACACCAGUGGCGAAGGCGGCUCACUGGCUCGGUACUGACGCUGAGGUGCGAAAGCGUGGGGAGCAAACAGGAUUAGAUA
This 279-nucleotide ribosomal RNA is filed under the name uncultured bacterium. Its description in RNAcentral is "partial 16S ribosomal RNA". It matches the Rfam family "Bacterial small subunit ribosomal RNA", at positions 506 to 784 of the family's 1533-position model. The record is from RNAcentral.